CCUACGGGUGGCUGCAGUGAGGAAUAUUGGUCAAUGGGCGAGAGCCUGAACCAGCCAAGUCGCGUGAGGGAAGACGGUCCUAUGGAUUGUAAACCUCUUUUGCCGGGGAGCAAAAAGCGGUACGUGUACCGCAUCGAGAGUACCCUGAGAAAAAGCAUCGGCUAAAUCCGUGCCAGCAGCCGCGGUAAUACGAGGGAUGAGAUGGUUAUCGGGAUUUAUGGGGUUUAAAGGGUGGGCAGGGGGCGAGUUAAGUCAGCGGUAAAAUUUCGGGGCUAAACCCCGACGAGCCGUUGAAAUUGGCUGGCUAGAGUGGGCGAGAGGUAUGCGGAAUGCGUGGUGUAGCGGUGAAAUGCAUAGAGAUCACGCAGAACUCCGAUUGCGAAGGCAGCAUACCGGCGACCAACUGACGCUCAGGCACGAAAGCGUGGGUAUCGAACAGGAUUAGAUACCCCUGUAGUC
RNAcentral lists this ribosomal RNA (459 nucleotides) under uncultured bacterium. Its description in RNAcentral is "partial 16S ribosomal RNA". It matches the Rfam family "Bacterial small subunit ribosomal RNA", at positions 338 to 795 of the family's 1533-position model. The record is from RNAcentral.